Molecule: ribosomal RNA, 478 nt
Filed under: uncultured organism
Description: partial 16S ribosomal RNA
Rfam family: Bacterial small subunit ribosomal RNA
Source: RNAcentral
GUACACUCCUACGGGAGGCAGCAGUGGGGAAUAUUGCACAAUGGGCGCAAGCCUGAUGCAGCCAUGCCGCGUGUAUGAAGAAGGCCUUCGGGUUGUAAAGUACUUUCAGCGGGGAGGAAGGCGAUAAGGUUAAUAACCUUGUCGAUUGACGUUACCCGCAGAAGAAGCACCGGCUAACUCCGUGCCAGCAGCCGCGGUAAUACGGAGGGUGCAAGCGUUAAUCGGAAUUACUGGGCGUAAAGCGCACGCAGGCGGUCUGUCAAGUCGGAUGUGAAAUCCCCGGGCUCAACCUGGGAACUGCAUUCGAAACUGGCAGGCUAGAGUCUUGUAGAGGGGGGUAGAAUUCCAGGUGUAGCGGUGAAAUGCGUAGAGAUCUGGAGGAAUACCGGUGGCGAAGGCGGCCCCCUGGACAAAGACUGACGCUCAGGUGCGAAAGCGUGGGGAGCAAACAGGAUUAGAAACCCCGGUAGUCCCAUGA